RNAcentral lists this long non-coding RNA (103 nucleotides) under Capra hircus (goat). RNAcentral's name for it is "lncRNA (ENSCHIG00010030217.1)". The record is from RNAcentral. Lineage: Eukaryota; Metazoa; Chordata; Mammalia; Artiodactyla; Bovidae.
UGAUGCUGUGAUUUUUACCUGGGGCAGCUGAGCUGGGUGGUGUUCCAUCUUGUUCUUGGACAUGUUGCUACAGCCUCCUAAUUGCACAAGGGGCCAGGUGUCC